AGAGUUUGAUCAUGGCUCAGGAUGAACGCUGACAGAAUGCUUAACACAUGCAAGUCUAUUUGAAGCACCUUCGGGUGUGGAGGAUGGCGGACGGGUGAGUAACGCGUAAGGAACUUGCCUCUUGGACUGGGACAACUGUUGGAAACGACAGCUAAUACCGGAUAUUAUGAGAUUCUCGCAUGAGAAACUUAUGAAAGCUAUAUGCGCCAAGAGAGAGCCUUGCGUUCCAUUAGCUAGUUGGUGGGGUAAAGGCCUACCAAGGCGACGAUGGAUAGCCGGCCUGAGAGGGUGAACGGCCACAAGGGGACUGAGACACGGCCCUUACUCCUACGGGAGGCAGCAGUGGGGAAUAUUGGACAAUGGACCAAAAGUCUGAUCCAGCAAUUCUGUGUGCACGAUGAAGGUCUUCGGAUUGUAAAGUGCUUUCAGUUGGGAAGAAGAAAGUGACGGUACCAACAGAAGAAGCGACGGCUAAAUACGUGCCAGCAGCCGCGGUAAUACGUAUGUCGCAAGCGUUAUCCGGAUUUAUUGGGCGUAAAGCGCGUCUAGGCGGAAAAGUAAGUCUGAUGUGAAAAUGCGGGGCUCAACUCCGUAUUGCGUUGGAAACUGCUUUUCUAGAGUACUGGAGAGGUGGGCGGAACUACAAGUGUAGAGGUGAAAUUCGUAGAUAUUUGUAGGAAUGCCGAUGGAGAAGUCAGCUCACUGGACAGAUACUGACGCUGAAGCGCGAAAGCGUGGGGAGCAAACAGGAUUAGAUACCCUGGUAGU
Molecule: ribosomal RNA, 768 nt
Filed under: uncultured bacterium
Lineage: Bacteria
Description: bacterial SSU rRNA
Rfam family: Bacterial small subunit ribosomal RNA
Source: RNAcentral